Archocentrus centrarchus (flier cichlid) is the source of this 575-nucleotide long non-coding RNA. RefSeq lists it as uncharacterized. NCBI's taxonomy places the organism in Eukaryota, Metazoa, Chordata, Actinopteri, Cichliformes, Cichlidae. The transcript has 2 exons. The record is from RefSeq and is a predicted model, not a curated record.
ACAGAGAAAAAACCAUUGGAUUUAAUGUAUGUUUUAUUUUUUUGCAAUUCCUUGAAAUGUCCCACAGAGGGCGCUAGGUGCCUAUGUGGUGAUCCAAACCUACCAUGGGGUCAGAGAAGAAAGAGGAGGAAGGAAAAAAAGCGAGACACCAUGCAAAGAAGCCAACGUGGUUCGGCUCUAGCAACCUAGCUUAGCCAAAAACGUAAUCGAGUUGCUUCUUUAAUGUUGAAUUUAAGGUUUUGUUAAGUGUAACAACCGUGUUGGAUUUUUGUUGUUCGUGAGGGAGGAAUUCGGAGGACCCGAGUUUGAUGUGAUUGGUCGGGAUUUUCUCCGGUUGGUUUUAUGACUACGGUCGGAUUCUGAGAGAGGACGACUGCAGAUCCACUGCGAGCAGGAGGCACAACAGUGGUCGUUGCAGCGGUGCGGAGGAGUGAAGGAUUGGUUCCAUGGAUUUGGAUGCACACGAUUCUCCACUGGAUAACAGAUAAGCUUAAGCAGACAACCAAUAGGGGGCCCCUAAUUGAACUAAAACUGCGCAGUUGACUGACAGAUAUUUUGACCUUACUGAACUUAAA